UGUUUGCUUGAACUCUAAAAUCACAUGAUUGUGCUCACAUUUCUUCUUCUUGGAAACAAAAAUUUCCCUCACACUCAAAUAUGUCCUGUGAUCAGAUCUAAAUCUAAAGUCUGCGCUCUCAAAACUGUUGUGCUCCACUCAGAGCCAGCUGGUGUGCUUCGCUGUGUGUGUUAAAAUAGUCGGAGCUGCCUUGGCCAUCUUUGGCUAUGUGCAGUACGCCAGAGACGUGACAUGGAACUAGAGAAGCUAUAGUUGGAGAUAUGAUUAUAUGACGGCCCGACUUCAGUGGAGGAGCGAGAGGUGGAUCUGACUGACGACGGAGGACGCGACACUACAGCCUCUCUACACCUCAACCUGACUGAGAGAAGCCGCUGCUAAUUCAUUUUGUGUUGGCAGUGGUGGACAGCACUCUGAUCGUCCUGGCCAUUCUCCACUUCUGUGUCUGCAUCAGCUUUGCUUCUCUGGGCAUCAAGGCUGUGGUCAACAAGAUGAAGGAAGAGGGGGAAGUUAAGGAUGAGGAGCCACUGCUGAAGGAAGACCUCAUGACCAGUCCUGGGGCUUAAAAUCAGCUCAACUUCUGGAUGCAUGUCAUUGUAACACACUUUUUACUUUUUAAUAUCACGAGGAUGAAAAUGAGUUUGAUUUUUUUUAUCUGCUCUUGAUCUGUUUUUAAAAGU
Long non-coding RNA from Centropristis striata (black sea bass), 677 nucleotides. RefSeq lists it as uncharacterized. NCBI's taxonomy places the organism in Eukaryota, Metazoa, Chordata, Actinopteri, Perciformes, Serranidae. The record is from RefSeq and is a predicted model, not a curated record. The transcript is spliced from 4 exons.